Molecule: long non-coding RNA, 546 nt
Filed under: Pongo abelii (Sumatran orangutan)
Lineage: Eukaryota; Metazoa; Chordata; Mammalia; Primates; Hominidae
Description: lincRNA
Source: RNAcentral
GAAGUCCGAGCAAAGAUGGGAAGCUUUGUUUUCAAAUAUAAUGGGAGGGGCGUGUGGAAACAGACCUGGCAAAACAAAGGCAGAUUGAUGUUUCUGUUUGCGAUACCAGUGGAGAGGAGGGGCUGGAGUGCUAUAUGGCACAAUCUCAGCUCACUGCAACCUCUGCCUCCUGGGCUCAAGCAAUUCUCCUGCCUCAGCCUCCCGAGCAGCUGGGAUUACAGAUUCAUGCCAGGCUCAGAGCCUGUCCCGGUGACAGACGCCCAAACACCUUGAUGGCCGAGGAAAAGUGGAGCGAGGAGGGCUCUCUGAAGAUGGGAGCGUGUGGGUGGGACAAGUACAGGCAGCAGUGGAAAUGAAUUCACUUGGGAUGGAUUCCAAGGUUGUCUACACCUGGAGCAGUCACAGGCUUCAACAUAUCUUUAAGUGUGGUGCCACCAGUAGCUGAAUUCAGGCCAUUCCACGCCCAGCCACUGUUUCUGUUCAGGCCAAGGGAGCUGAUGCGGGAACUCACCAGCACUGUGGGAAGCAGCUGCUCAUUGUCCUUUG